CCUACGGGUGGCAGCAGUGGGGAAUAUUACACAAUGGGGGAAACCCUGAUGCAGCGACGUCGCGUGAGUGAUGAAGUAAUUCGUUAUGUAAAGCUCUAUCAGCAGGGAAGUAAAUGACGGUACGUGAGUAUGAAGCUCCGGCUAACUACGUGCCAGGAGCCGCGGUAAUACGUAGGGGGAAAGCGUUUUCCGGAUUUACUGGGUGUAAAGGGAGCGUAGACGGUGCGCCAAGUCUGCAGUGAAAGGCCGCAGCUUAACUGCGGAACUGCAUUGGAAACUGGCGGACUAGAGGGCGGGAGGGGUAAGCGGAAUUCCUAGUGUUGCGGUGAAAUGCGUAGAUAUUAGGAGGAACACCGGUGGCGAAGGCAGGUGACCGGACCGCAACUGACGUUGAGGCUCGAAAGCGUGGGGAGCAAACAGGAUUAGAUACCCUAGUAGUC
This 440-nucleotide ribosomal RNA is filed under the name uncultured bacterium. RNAcentral describes it as "partial 16S ribosomal RNA". It matches the Rfam family "Bacterial small subunit ribosomal RNA", at positions 338 to 795 of the family's 1533-position model. The record is from RNAcentral.